RNAcentral lists this ribosomal RNA (299 nucleotides) under Clostridioides difficile. RNAcentral describes it as "partial 16S ribosomal RNA". It matches the Rfam family "Bacterial small subunit ribosomal RNA", at positions 1 to 307 of the family's 1533-position model. The record is from RNAcentral. Lineage: Bacteria; Bacillati; Bacillota; Clostridia; Peptostreptococcales; Peptostreptococcaceae.
UUUUAUUUGAGAGUUUGAUCCUGGCUCAGGAUGAACGCUGGCGGCGUGCCUAACACAUGCAAGUUGAGCGAUUUACUUCGGUAAAGAGCGGCGGACGGGUGAGUAACGCGUGGGUAACCUACCCUGUACACACGGAUAACAUACCGAAAGGUAUGCUAAUACGGGAUAAUAUAUUUGAGAGGCAUCUCUUAAAUAUCAAAGGUGAGCCAGUACAGGAUGGACCCGCGUCUGAUUAGCUAGUUGGUAAGGUAACGGCUUACCAAGGCGACGAUCAGUAGCCGACCUGAGAGGGUGAUCGG